UUUUUAUCUGGAGCCUAUGUACUUACAUCUCCUCCUCUGCCUACCCCUCUUACAGUCCAUUGAAAGAAUAAAAAUGGUAAAAAAAAGAAAACCGCUGUAGGACUACUGGAAAAGAGAGAAAAGGCUACUUUUUAUACCAUUGACAUAUAAGAAAUGUAGAACUUCUGGAGUGUGUGAAACACAGGGAACCACACUGAAACCAAACUAAUCAGACUUGCAUAGCAGCAGCACCAUAUGGCAGUGACAGCACCUUCUGCAAGAAGAGAAACUCUAAACCAAUUACAACAAUAUCAUUUCUGUGUUGAACCAUAAGUCAUUGGAAACCCACUGCAACCAUGCUUCCAUAAUAGCAGCUGGAAUCUCCAAUUCUACAGAGAAAAGGAAUGUUGAAGUAACAUACAUGUAGCUUUGAGGAGGAGGCACGUGCAUUCAAGCUCAUGGAGAGGAUUGACAGCCACAGACAGGCACUCAUAAGAACUGAAUGUAAAUCAUCAAAGAGAAUAUACUCAGGAGGCACUGUCUACCAUAGAGGGAAGGAAGAUGAGAUGGGUCAUUGGUGUCUUCCCACAACUUCAUACAUCUGCUGACAAUUGCCAAAUUUGGAGUCAUGUGAAAAGAGACGGGCUGAGUAAGAAAGAUCAGAGGAUAUCUUUGACAGUCACUUCUGGAUGGAAUGCAGUCGUGCAAUCCUAGCUAACAUAACCUCCAACUCCUGGGCUUGGGAUCUUCCACGUCAGCCUCCCAAAUAGC
RNAcentral lists this long non-coding RNA (750 nucleotides) under Homo sapiens (human). RNAcentral describes it as "HSALNT0297211". The record is from RNAcentral. Lineage: Eukaryota; Metazoa; Chordata; Mammalia; Primates; Hominidae.